AAGCUAGAGCCUGGGAAUUCAGGAGCCCAAAGCCACUUUGAGAGAUUGGAGGAGUAAGAGCAAUGAACCUGGGUAACCAGAGGCGCACGGCCAGCCAUCUGGUAAUGAUAACAUCAACAUCACAGUAGAAGAAGAUCAAGGAUCCAAUAACCAAAAGAUAUUCAAGAGGAGCCUAACUGGACAGCUGUGGUGCCGAUGCCUCAGGAGAAGAGAAGUGGAUUCCUCCUGCUUGCUCACACCAAUCCACUCCUUGUGAAAGUCCCUCAGAUGUAGGGAACCCCCUCACAUGUGGGAAUCUCACUUACCACGCCCUUCACUCCUCCUUCUCUCCUGUAUUUUUUUUUUGAGACUGGAGAGGACAAUGACAAGAUAGAUUAAGAGUUGUAAGGGACCUUAGAAACCAUCUCUGGCAAGCUAUGCAACAUUAGGUAAAUUUAGUUUCUCUAUACCUCAGUUUCUCCAACUUUAAAAUGCAGGUGAUGGACUGGAUGGUCUCUGAGGUCUAAGGUUACUUCCCAGCUCCCAAUCUAUUUCCUAACUCCUUCAUUUUACAGAUGAGAUAGAACUAAGUCUAGGAAAGAUUAAGUGAUUAGCACGAAGCCUUAUGAGUAGUAAGGGGUAGACCUGGCAUUUGAACCCAAGUCUUCUCAUUGGGAUUCCAGCACGUUUUUUUUUUGUUUGUUUCUUUUGUUCCCUUGCACCAUGCUAUAUCCAAAGACUGUUAAGGCUGAAUGGUAAGAGGGGAAUACCAAGAUUUUCUUUCUAGAAAAAGUUUGCACGUUUCCCCAUGAUUCAGAUCUGUUUCCCACUUGCAGGCAGAUUGCACCAGGGCUACUACUCAGUGAUGGAAACUCAUCUUUUCAACUCAUCAUAAUAGGA
Non-coding RNA from Phascolarctos cinereus (koala), 879 nucleotides. The record is from RefSeq and is a predicted model, not a curated record. NCBI's taxonomy places the organism in Eukaryota, Metazoa, Chordata, Mammalia, Diprotodontia, Phascolarctidae.